CGUAGGUAAUCUACCCCAGAGUCUGGAAUAACCUGCCGAAAGGCGGGCUAAUACUGGAUAGAGCGACGGAAUCCGUAAUAGGGUUUUUCGGGAAAGGGAGGAAGUAAUUCCCUUUGCUCUGGGAUGAGCCUGCGUCUCAUUAGCUAGUUGGUGAGGUAACGGCUCACCAAGGCUAUGAUGGGUAGCUGGUCUGAGAGGAUGAUCAGCCACACUGGAACUGAAACACGGUCCAGACUCCUACGGGAGGCAGCAGUGGGGAAUCUUGCGCAAUGGACGAAAGUCUGACGCAGCCACGCCGCGUGAGUGAAGAAGGCCUUCGGGUUGUAAAGCUCUGUCGAGCGGGACGAAAAGUUUUCAGGUGAAUAGCCUGGAGAUGUGACGGUACCGCUAAAGGAAGCACCGGCUAACUCCGUGCCAGCAGCCGCGGCAAUACGGAGGGUGCAAGCGUUGCUCGGAAUUAUUGGGCGUAAAGGGUAGGUAGGUGGUCUCAUUUGUCUGGGGUGAAAGCCUUGAGCUUAACUCAAGAAGUGCCCCAGAAACGGUGAGACUGGAGUCCUGGAGAGGGUCGUGGAAUUCCCGGUGUAGCGGUGAAAUGCGUAGAGAUCGGGAGGAACACCAGAGGCGAAAGCGGCGACCUGGACAGGUACUGACACUCAACUACGAAAGCGUGGGGAGCAAACAGGAUUAGAUACCCUGGUAGUCCACGCUGUAAACGAUGGGUACUAGGUUUGGUGGGUCUUGACCCCUGCUGAACCGGCGCUAACGCACUAAGUACCCCGCCUGGGAAGUACGGUCGCAAGACU
This 803-nucleotide ribosomal RNA is filed under the name uncultured Pseudomonadota bacterium. Its description in RNAcentral is "bacterial SSU rRNA". It matches the Rfam family "Bacterial small subunit ribosomal RNA", at positions 116 to 895 of the family's 1533-position model. Lineage: Bacteria; Pseudomonadati; Pseudomonadota. The record is from RNAcentral.